UACGUAGGGUGCAAGCGUUAAUCGGAAUUACUGGGCGUAAAGCGUGCGCAGGCGGUUUUGUAAGUCUGUCGUGAAAGCCCCGGGCUCAACCUGGGAAUUGCGAUGGAGACUGCAAGGCUUGAAUCUGGCAGAGGGGGGUAGAAUUCCACGUGUAGCAGUGAAAUGCGUAGAGAUGUGGAGGAACACCGAUGGCGAAGGCAGCCCCCUGGGUCAAGAUUGACGCCCAUGCACGAAAGCGUGGGGAGCAAACAGG
RNAcentral lists this ribosomal RNA (253 nucleotides) under uncultured bacterium. Its description in RNAcentral is "partial 16S ribosomal RNA". It matches the Rfam family "Bacterial small subunit ribosomal RNA", at positions 524 to 776 of the family's 1533-position model. The record is from RNAcentral.